This 446-nucleotide ribosomal RNA is filed under the name uncultured bacterium. Its description in RNAcentral is "bacterial SSU rRNA". It matches the Rfam family "Bacterial small subunit ribosomal RNA", at positions 87 to 518 of the family's 1533-position model. The record is from RNAcentral.
CACGAGGCGGACGGAACGGGUGAAGUAACACGUGAGUCGACCUCGCCCCCUGACCGUCCGGGAAUAAGGCGGGUAGGAAACCGCUGUCUAACGUACCGGAUAUGACCUUCCGUCGCAUGGGCGGGGGUGGAAAGCCUUGUGCGGUUGGGGAUGGGCUCGCGGCCUAUCAGCUUGUUGGUGGGGUAACGGCCUACCAAGGCGAUUACGGGUAGCCGGCCUGAGAGGGCGACCGGCCACACUGGGACUGAGACACGGCCCAGACUCCUGCGGGAGGCAGCAGGUGGGGAAUCUUGCGCAAUGGGCGAAAGCCUGACGCAGCGACGCCGCGUGGGGGAUGACGGCCUUCGGGUUGUAAACCUCUUUUACCACUAACGCAGGCUCGGGAUGUUCUCCGGGUUGACGGUAGGUGGGGAAUAAGGACCGGCUAACUACGUGCCAGCCGCCGC